AGGGAAUAGAUACCCGGGUAGUCCUAGCCUUAAAACGAUGCUGACUUGGUGUCCCAGGUUUUAAGUCCUGGGGUGCCGGAGCUAAACGCGUUAAAGUCAGCCGCCUGGGGAGUACGGUCGCAAGGCUGAAACUCAAACGGAAUUGACGGGGUACCCGCACAAGUGGUGGAGCAUGUGGUUUAAUUCGACGCAACGCGAAGAACCUUACCUGGGCUAGAAUGCGGUGGAUAAGCCUCAGAGAUGGGGUCGAUCCGGGUUAACCCGGCUCCUGCCUGCAAGGUGCUGCAUGGCUGUCGUCAGCUCGUGUCGUGAGAUGUUGGGUUAAACGUCCCGCAACGAGCGCAACCCGUUACCGUGAGUUACCGAUCAUUCAGUUGGGACUCUCGCGGAACUGCCGGUGAUAAACCCGGUAGGAACGGUGGGGUAUGACGUCAAGUCCUCA
RNAcentral lists this ribosomal RNA (442 nucleotides) under uncultured bacterium. RNAcentral's name for it is "bacterial SSU rRNA". It matches the Rfam family "Bacterial small subunit ribosomal RNA", at positions 773 to 1195 of the family's 1533-position model. The record is from RNAcentral.